This 74-nucleotide transfer RNA is filed under the name Triticum aestivum (bread wheat). It matches the Rfam family "tRNA". From Rfam's summary of the family: Transfer RNA (tRNA) molecules are approximately 80 nucleotides in length. Lineage: Eukaryota; Viridiplantae; Streptophyta; Magnoliopsida; Poales; Poaceae. The record is from Rfam by way of RNAcentral.
GGCCUAUUAGCUCAGCUGGUUAGAGCGUCGUGCUAAUAACGCGAAGGUCACAGGUUCGGGACCUAUAUGGGCCA